This is a long non-coding RNA of Brassica napus (rape), 1950 nucleotides long. RefSeq lists it as uncharacterized. NCBI's taxonomy places the organism in Eukaryota, Viridiplantae, Streptophyta, Magnoliopsida, Brassicales, Brassicaceae. The transcript is spliced from 6 exons. The record is from RefSeq and is a predicted model, not a curated record.
AUUAGAUAACGGAGGAAAGGGAAAAAAAAAAUAGAAGAGAUGGAGAGGGACGAUUCUUGACAAAGAAACGUUUACCUAGGUUAGAGAAGCGUCUCUGUAACGUGUCAUCACACGACUGACUUAACUUUUUUCUAUUUAUGUUUUAAUUAAAAUGUUAAACUAUAUUAUUAUUAUUUGUCUGGAGUUACUGCUUCAGAAAUUCUAACGUUGCUGAUGCUCUAAAGAUCUCGAUUCCAUUUCCACUGUCAAGUAACGCGCAAGAGUUAUGUCAUUUAUUGAUGAAAACCCAAAAACCCCCACGGUCCGUUCUUCAUUACAGAUUUAUCUCGGUGGUCUUUACCUCUUUAUUCAUACUUUCCCAUAAUGUUAAAUUCACAGAUUCAUUUCUCUGACUUGAAGGCCGUCCGCUGCAAGGCUGUAGUUCAGAGCAGACUCUGGAGGUCAGUUGAUGGCCAUCGAUAUGCUCCUUCUUGAUGCCAAGAAGUGAAAGUUGGUUCUUAACGAGCAGGUGAGUUAGCUAGGAAGCAGCUACUGUCCAUGUCUGCACUUCAGAAGGACUGUGGAUGUAGACACAAUGGGAAGAAUGCUUUGUUAUUCUAUCAUUUUCUUAUAAUACUCAAUUCUUAUUUUGUGAUAUAUAUCUAAUUGUUGAAAUAUGCUUAUUUUAAAGAGUGGUCUUUACUUUCGGGUGAACCAGCUUCCGAUCCUUCUCAGGGACACCCCGUAAUGGAAGUAAAAAUCAACCAGUGAACAAACUUUUCGAGUUAAGUAUUAGGAUAGUGGUGAAGACAUCGACAUUGACGUCUCCAGCUCCCAAACAAAGGAAGUUUUGUAACUUUGUAUUAUAUGUCAGACUUAUUGUCAUGUAUUUUAUAUAUCUUGCUACGUCAAUCUCGGUCUCUCUUGAUCAAUAUCAGAUACUGAUGUUUGGGGUCUCCAUAUUUUGGUUCUCUUUAUGGCUUCUCUAAAAUUGGUGUUGUUUGUUGCAGAAUCACAUAUUGUGUUGUUUUUUUACUUUAGCUGCUUUGGUACUUGGUAGUAAGUUACGAUAUGGUUGCGGAUGUGAGAAAUUUAACUUUAUAAGAUGUUGCUCCCUGUUUGAGUAAAACAUUGUUUUGUUACUGGUUAAACUAUUAGAAAAUUUUAUUGGAGUCUGAUUCUGAAACUUUUCAAGAAGCUUAGUAUGUAUAAUGGCUUGCCAACAUGUUUUACUUUACUUUUUUUAAUUGUUCACUGUUUUGAAUUCUCAGAGGAUUUUGACGAAGCGAUGUUAUACCAAAGAACAAACCUGAUCAGGACGUCGGUGCCCAAAACUCACAGGAGUGGGAGCUUCCACAGUGUUCACAAGAUAUUGUUGGGAGUACUUUAACCUUCCAAUUGAACCUAUUCCACUUCAACUUGACUGCAAAGCAUCAGAGCUUCACUGUUUCCCGCAUUUAGGAACCAAUCAGCGUCCACCGCAGUCUAAUUUGGAGGUUCUGGGUAGGAAUAACAAUCUGGGAGAUGAUAUGUAAGGUGCUGGAGCAGUCAAAAAGAGCAACGUUCCUGGAGUUAAAAAAACCUCUGUGGAUCAUGGUACCUGUGUUGGCGAUGAAGCGGUUGAAGGUGGACUAGCUGAUGCAACUGCUCCAGGUCACAACUCGACUCUGUUAAUUGAAGGGAGAGGAGAGGAGUCACCAGUUAAGGAAGAUGGGUGCUCUGGAAAGAAGGCACCAAUUGAGUGACAUCGAAAGAGCAAGGGGAACCAAAGUUACAAGACAUGAUGAUUUAUACGUUGCAUUUUCAGACAUUAUCAAGUCCGACUACUUCAAAAAUUUUAUAUCAUUGGUUUCCUUAGGUUUUUAAACUCCACCAUAUCAGACUUUUUCAGUUAUAAAAUAAAGCUUCCUGUUUGCAAAAAAAAAAAAAACUUUUUUCCUAACAAAUCAUAAUCAAAUAUUAACAAUUAGU